GAGGAAUAUUGGGCAAUGCCCGCAAGGGUGACCCAGCAACGCCGCGUGGAGGAUGAAUGUCGUAAGAUUGUAAACUCCUGUUAGAGGGGAAGAAUAGUACCGGUUGGACCGGUAUAUGACUGUACCCUCAGAGAAAGCCCCGGCUAACUACGUGCCAGCAGCCGCGGUAAUACGUAGGGGGCAAGCGUUGUCCGGAUUUACUGGGUGUAAAGGGCGCGCAGGCGGGAUAAAAAGUCAGUGGUGAAAUCCUACAGCUUACUGUAGAACUGCCUUUGAUACUUUUAUUCUUAAGUUCGGGAGAGAGAGACGGAAUUCCAGGUGUAGUGGUGAAAUACGUAGAUAUCUGGAAGAACACCAGUUGCGAAGGCGGUCUCUUGGUCCGACACUGACGCUGAGGCGCGAAAGCGUGGGGAGCAAACA
RNAcentral lists this ribosomal RNA (420 nucleotides) under uncultured bacterium. RNAcentral's name for it is "bacterial SSU rRNA". It matches the Rfam family "Bacterial small subunit ribosomal RNA", at positions 356 to 774 of the family's 1533-position model. The record is from RNAcentral.